RNAcentral lists this ribosomal RNA (497 nucleotides) under uncultured bacterium. RNAcentral describes it as "partial 16S ribosomal RNA". It matches the Rfam family "Bacterial small subunit ribosomal RNA", at positions 28 to 507 of the family's 1533-position model. The record is from RNAcentral.
GAUGAACGCUGGCGGCGUGCCUAAUACAUGCAAGUCGAGCGAACAGACGAGGAGCUUGCUCCUCUGAUGUUAGCGGCGGACGGGUGAGUAACACGUGGAUAACCUACCUAUAAGGCUGGGAUAACUUCGGGAAACCGGAGCUAAUACCGGAUAAUAUAUUGAACCGCAUGGUUCAAUAGUGAAAGACGGUUUUGCUGUCACUUAUAGAUGGAUCCGCGCCGCAUUAGCUAGUUGGUAAGGUAACGGCUUACCAAGGCAACGAUGCGUAGCCGACCUGAGAGGGUGAUCGGCCACACUGGAACUGAGACACGGUCCAGACUCCUACGGGAGGCAGCAGUAGGGAAUCUUCCGCAAUGGGCGAAAGCCUGACGGAGCAACGCCGCGUGAGUGAUGAAGGUCUUCGGAUCGUAAAACUCUGUUAUUAGGGAAGAACAAAUGUGUAAGUAACUAUGCACGUCUUGACGGUACCUAAUCAGAAAGCCACGGCUAACUACGUG